CCGUGGAGGGAUCUAUGGUGGGUUUCGAACACGCCGGCCAGAGUGAACUUCUGGUGACAUCGGGAUUUUCUAUUCCAAUCGUGUUCGUCGGAGUUGGGGCUUUGUGCUCCUUGCAUCUUCUCACCCUCGCUUUAGUUCUAUUCUCUUAGAUUUAGAUCUCGAUCUGGAUUGAGCUGUGCUUUGUUUGCUUGAUUUUGUCUUAGCCAUUGUUGUUAGGUACCGUCGUUUCUCCGACGUCGAGAUGUACUCUCCGACCCCCUUUUGGGAUGUUUUUUUAAUAUAUUGAAAAAAAAAAAAAAAGGUUCGGUGGAUAAUCUGAUA
Molecule: long non-coding RNA, 321 nt
Filed under: Brassica napus (rape)
Lineage: Eukaryota; Viridiplantae; Streptophyta; Magnoliopsida; Brassicales; Brassicaceae
Description: long non-coding RNA (BNAP_LNC024639)
Source: RNAcentral